This 68-nucleotide transfer RNA is filed under the name bovine gut metagenome. It matches the Rfam family "tRNA". Rfam says of the family: Transfer RNA (tRNA) molecules are approximately 80 nucleotides in length. Their secondary structure includes four short double-helical elements and three loops (D, anti-codon, and T loops). The record is from RNAcentral. RNAcentral also lists the same sequence under 1 other name.
GGGUAUAGCUCAAUUGGUAGAGCACCGGUCUCCAAAACCGGGGGUUGCGGGUUCGAUUCCUGCUGCCC